CGCGCGUCAAAAGCAACUGAGAUUGCCCUGCUUAUUAAUUUUAGAAGCUGGAUGAGAGAGCAGAUAAUAUUCACACAAACUUCCAGAGACUUGUCAUUAUAAUACAAUAUAACAAAGUAAACAGCUUCUUUCUUCUACCCACCUGUCUCACCCUGAGUCCCCGCAGCGUGUGUUGUUGUGGCUUUGGUUUUUUCAAACUCGACGCGCGCGCUGCGUGCGCUCCGCUCCGCUCUCUUCUCAGCGACGCUCGACUAGCACUUCCGUGUUGGCGAGUCCCGACGUCACGCGGAAUGUGAAGCAGGAAACGCGGAUGUGUUGCGCUUAAUCUGCAUCUACAGGUAUUCGCAAACAACUCUCUUUCUUUCUUCACUUUAUUAAUUCUUAUCAACACAAGACACCGUAGCGCCAUUUUUGAUCAUGUGUUUUUAUAGCCGUCAGUUUAAGCUCUGAAGGGUUCUGAUCGGAUUCGCUUAAUUCGUAUUUGUGUGUGUGUGUGUGUGUGUGUGUGUGUGUGUGUGUGUGUGUGUGAUCCAGACGUGUUCCGAUCCAUAUGUCAAACCCAAACCCCCUUUCAAGCUGAUCUGAUCCAAACGCAGUGCAUCGGACGCGGGUCGGACGGAACCGAGUGGAGGAAUGCCUACCGGUGUGUGUGGAUGUUGUGGUCCUCUGCGGCCACGCUACAAGCGUCUAGUGGACAACAUUUUCCCAGAGGACCCCAAGGAUGGACUGGUGAAAUCCGAUAUGGAAAAGUUGACUUUUUAUGCAGUGUCCGCACCAGAGAAGCUGGACCGUAUCGGAGCGUACCUGGCCGAACGCCUCAGCAGAGAUGUGGUACGACAUCGCUACGGGUACGUGGUAAUAGCAAUGGAGGCGUUGGAUCAGUUGUUGAUGGCAUGUCAUUCCCAGAGUAUCAAGCCGUUUGUGGAGAGCUUCUUACACAUGGUAGCCAAACUGCUGGAAUCCAGAGAACCCGAUUUACAAGUGCUGGGAACCAACUCCUUUGUGAAGUUUGCAAACAUUGAGGAGGAUACGCCAUCUUACCAUCGCAGAUAUGACUUUUUCGUCUCUCAGUUCAGUGCCAUGUGUCACUCCACACACGAGGACCCCGAAACUCGCAACAGGAUCCGUGUAGCAGGCAUUAAGGGUCUCCAGGGUGUCGUCAGAAAGACUGUGAAUGAUGAACUCCAGGCAAUCAUCUGGGAACCUCAACACAUGGAUAAACUCAUCCCCUCCAUGCUGUUCAACAUGCAAGAUAAUGAGGACUCCGAGAGCAUUAAAAGCAUAUAUUCCAGGUUGCAUUUAGACAACCAUCGUCUGUGGGACCCGAAUGAUUUUGCUGUUUCCUGUUUCAGGAUAAUCAUGUACUCAAUACAGGCCCAGCAUUCUCACCAUGUGAUCCAGCAAGUGUUGUCUCACCUUGACACCCACAGUAAGAACACCCCGCGUGUGAGGGCAGGUAUCGUUCAGGUGCUGCUGGAGACGGUUGCCAUAGCAGCCAAGGGCUCCAUCGGUCCCACGGUCCUGGAGGUGUUUAACACCCUGCUAAAGCAUCUGCGUAUGAGUGUGGAUUUUGAGCUGGGCGACGGUUCCCGCAGGAACUCCGCGAGCAGCCUUUCCUCCACCCGCACCAAAGAGAGCGAGGAGCGGAUCGUCCAGAAUGCUAUCAUCCAAACCAUUGGUUUCUUUGGAGGAAAUCUUCCUGAUUAUCAGAGAGCUGAAGUGAUGAUGUUCGUUAUGGGGAAAGUUCCUGUUUACGGCACGCCGUGUCACACGCUGGACACCGUUACGUCAGGGUUUAAGUGUAAAACGAUUUGUGCUGGCCUGCCCAUGGCGUUUCUGGAGCCAUUAUGCUCUAUCUCUUUGAUGGAAGACAGUGAACUACGGCAGCUCGUCUUGGAGAUUUUGCACAACAUCAUUGAUCGCCAUGACAACAGAGCCAAACUCAGAGGGAUCCGGAUUAUUCCUAAUGUAGCCGCUCUGAAGAUCAAGAGAGAGAAAAUCUCCAAACAGGAUGUGGUUUUCAUGAAAAAGCAUGGGCAGCAGCUAUACAGACACAUCUAUCUGGGCUGUAAGGAGGAAGAUAAUGUGCAGAAGAACUUUGAGCUGCUUUUCACAGCUUUGGCAUUGAUCACUAUUGAACUUGCCAAUGAGGAGGUGGUGAUUGAUCUCAUACGCCUGUCCAUCGCCCUGCAGGAUAUGGCCCUGGCCAAUGAGGAGAACAUGCCAAUGUUUAUUCGCUGUGGAAUCAUGGCAUUGAUUGCCGCAUACCUCAACUUCCUCAGUCAGAUGAUUGCAAAUCCCCCUUUCUGCCAACACGUCAGCAAGGUGAUUGAGAUGAGAAAUCUAGAUGCUCCGCACCUUUUGCCUGAACACGUCUUCAGAGAGAAGUGUGUGCUCCCAGACUCUUUAGACCGGGACGACGUUGGUUUGUAUUUUCAGACGGCUGAUCUGGCAGAAGCUCUGUCUGUACCUGGAUAUAACGUAGAGAGACUAGCUGUUCCGUACAUACCGCAGGUUACAGAUGAAGAUCGACUGCCCCGUAGGAAGAGUUUUGUCGACACUAUUUCUCUCCAAGUUGACAUCCUUUCCAACAGCUUGCCUGAUCAGCUUGCAGAGGAGAUCACGUUUGAGACCCUGAAGAAGGCCAUCGAUACCACAGGUCUGGAGGAACAGGAGAGGGAGAGGAGACGGCAGGUGAUGGAGAAGUUCCAGAAGGCUCCGUUUGAAGAGAUUGCCGCCCACUGCGAGUCCAAGGCCAACAUGCUGCACGAUCGCUUGGCUCAGAUAUUUGAACUCACCAUUCGCCCUCCCCCGAGCCCAUCGGGCACCGUGACGGUGACGUCAGGCCACGCCCAAUACCAGUCUGUGCCAGUCUACGAAAUGAAGUUCCCUGACCUCUGCGUGUACUGAACCACGGCCUUUCACCUUAACUCUAUCACACAGACUCAACCUUGACAUGUGACCACUGACCUUUAUCACACUUUAUGUGUGUAAACUCACCUGAGCCACUCAUCUUCAUUAGACAUCUUUCACUAUGAACGUCACUUACAUUCAUGUCCAGCAGAAAGAAGGGGUGCAGACUGGACGGCCACUUCAUGCCUCUAUUCUACACCAGUCAGCACACAGAGCUUUACGACCAGCUGUCCAGUCAUACACCAGCUCUGUAGAAUCAUGUGAAUCGUAUGUGUGUGGUUUUCACUUUGAUUCUUGCACUAAACGGCAGCUCCAAGAAUCAAACUGAGUCUUUUAAACACUUGAUUCUUCAGCUUCUUAAUCUAUUGAUUCAAAGGAGUCAUUUAGAAAAUGACUCACUCUGGAUUUAUUAAGGGAACUUAAUUGCUAGCAUUAGCUUAAGUGCUAGUUUAUGUUCAUUAACUCUCAUUUCUAAACCAUCAUCAGCAGAGAGAUUUGAACAUACGAUAGAUUUCUGCUCGCUUAAAUCUCUCCUAUAUAAAUAAUUAUAGUGUACAGUAUCGCACAGUAUAGUAUAGGCUAUUUUUGACAAAUAUAUAUAUAUAUACUUUUAGAUGAAAUGAUUGCUGAUAGUUGCAGAGUGUUAUUUGUAUUCUGUUUGCAUGGCUUAGCCAAUGUUUCAUUGCAAACGUUUGUGAGUUUAGGCCUUUAUUAAUCUACAAUUAGCCUUUAACUUCAAUGUUGUGGAUGUCAACGGGGCUUUUGUUCACCCAGAGUUCUUAGUGAUCACUAUGCUCUCCAUUUUGCCUUCACUGUAUAGAGAAACCAAAUCAUUUGCUUUUCAUCACCAAAGAGCUACGCACUUCCUUUAUGGCCACACACGGCUGCCAAUCAAAUCUUGAGCCAAUCAGAAACUGAAUUCUCUUUGAGGGCGGGAACACCACAGUGUUCUUGAACUCAAACCUCAGAACAGUUUCUAGAAACCCGGGGGCCGAAAAAUGAUGGAUUAUCAGUGAUAAAAUGAUCUGCAUUCAUCAACCAGCUGUUUUUUUUAUCGAGCCACAAGGACGUUGAAAUGCUUUUCUGCUUUUCAGGUGACUUCAUUCAUCUACCUUGGACAAAAUAAAAAUGUGUGUGACUGUUAGAUGCUGAAAUAC
Molecule: long non-coding RNA, 4070 nt
Filed under: Sinocyclocheilus grahami
Lineage: Eukaryota; Metazoa; Chordata; Actinopteri; Cypriniformes; Cyprinidae
Description: lncRNA (ENSSGRG00000038533.1)
Source: RNAcentral